RNAcentral lists this ribosomal RNA (253 nucleotides) under uncultured bacterium. RNAcentral describes it as "partial 16S ribosomal RNA". It matches the Rfam family "Bacterial small subunit ribosomal RNA", at positions 524 to 776 of the family's 1533-position model. The record is from RNAcentral.
UACGGAGGAUCCAAGCGUUAUCCGGAUUUAUUGGGUUUAAAGGGUGCGUAGGCAGCUAAUUAAGUCAGGGGUGAAAUACGGCAGCUCAACUGUCGCAGUGCCUUUGAUACUGGUUAGCUUGAAUAUGGACGAAGAUGGCGGAAUGAGACAAGUAGCGGUGAAAUGCAUAGAUAUGUCUCAGAACUCCGAUUGCGAAGGCAGCUGUCUAGGUCAUUAUUGACGCUGAUGCACGAAAGCGUGGGGAUCAAACAGG